RNAcentral lists this ribosomal RNA (385 nucleotides) under Accumulibacter sp. RNAcentral's name for it is "partial 23S ribosomal RNA". It matches the Rfam family "Bacterial large subunit ribosomal RNA", at positions 2546 to 2925 of the family's 2925-position model. Lineage: Bacteria; Pseudomonadati; Pseudomonadota; Betaproteobacteria. The record is from RNAcentral.
CCUGGGGCUGUAGUCGGUCCCAAGGGUAUGGCUGUUCGCCAUUUAAAGUGGUACGUGAGCUGGGUUUAAAACGUCGUGAGACAGUUUGGUCCCUAUCUGCCGUGGGCGCUGGAAAUUUGAAGGGGGCUGCUCCUAGUACGAGAGGACCGGAGUGGACGAACCUCUGGUGUACCGGUUAUGACGCCAGUCGUAUCGCCGGGUAGCUAAGUUCGGAAGAGAUAAACGCUGAAAGCAUCUAAGCGUGAAACUCGCCUUAAGAUGAGAUUUCCCCGGGGACUUGAUCCCCCUGAAGGGUCGUGGUAGACCACGACGUUGAUAGGCUGGAUGUGGAAGCGCAGCAAUGCGUUAAGCUAACCAGUACUAAUCGCCCGUGUGGCUUGAUCCU